Molecule: ribosomal RNA, 117 nt
Filed under: Lepisosteus oculatus (spotted gar)
Lineage: Eukaryota; Metazoa; Chordata; Actinopteri; Semionotiformes; Lepisosteidae
Source: RNAcentral
GCCUGCAGCCAUGUCACCCUGCAACUUACAAUUGGCAACCCACUGAAGCUAAGCAUGUGUGAGCCUGGUCAGUACCUGGAUGGGAGACCUCCUGGGAAAAACAAGUUGCUGCUGGAA